CUAAGGCUCCAGAGGAAGCCACGGCUAACUCUGUGCCAGCAGCCGCGGUAAUACAGAGGCGGCAAGCGUCGUUCGGAAUUAUUGGGCGUAAAGAGCACGUAGGCGGCCUUGCAAGUCAGUUGUGAAAGCCUUCCGCUUAACGGAAGAAUGCCAGCUGAUACUACAGGGCUUGAGUACGGGAGGGGAGAGUGGAACUUCUGGUGGAGCGGUGAAAUGCGUAGAUAUCAGAAGGAGCGCCGGCGGCGAAAGCGACUCUCUGGCCCGAAACUGACGCUGAGUGUGCGAAAGCUAGGGGAGCAAACGGGAUUAGAUACCCCGGUAGUCCUAGCCGUAAA
RNAcentral lists this ribosomal RNA (335 nucleotides) under uncultured Planctomycetales bacterium. RNAcentral's name for it is "bacterial SSU rRNA". It matches the Rfam family "Bacterial small subunit ribosomal RNA", at positions 473 to 806 of the family's 1533-position model. The record is from RNAcentral. Lineage: Bacteria; Pseudomonadati; Planctomycetota; Planctomycetia; Planctomycetales.